AGUGAACGCUGGCGGUAGGCCUAACACAUGCAAGUCGAACGGCAGCACAGUAAGAGCUUGCUCUUACGGGUGGCGAGUGGCGGACGGGUGAGGCAUACAUCGGAAUCUACUUUUUCGUGGGGGAUAACGUAGGGAAACUUACGCUACUACCGCAUACGACCUACGGGUGAAAGCAGGGGAUAUUCGGACCUUUCGCGAUUGAAUGAGCCGAUGUCGGAUUAGCUAGUUGGCGGGGUAAAGGCCCACCAAGGCGACGAUCCGUAGCUGGUCUGAGAGGAUGAUCAGCCACACUGGAACUGAGACACGGUCCAGACUCCUACGGGAGGCAGCAGUGGGGAAUAUUGGGCAAUGGGCGCAAGCCUGAUGCAGCCAUACCGCGUGGGUGAAGAAGGCCUUCGGGUUGUAAAGCCCUGUUGUUGGGAAAGAAAAGCAGCAGGUUAAUACCCGGCUGUUCUGACGGUACCCAAAGAAUAAGCACCGGCUAACUUCGUG
RNAcentral lists this ribosomal RNA (492 nucleotides) under uncultured bacterium. Its description in RNAcentral is "partial 16S ribosomal RNA". It matches the Rfam family "Bacterial small subunit ribosomal RNA", at positions 29 to 507 of the family's 1533-position model. The record is from RNAcentral.